UACAGAGGGUGCAAGCGUUAAUCGGAAUUACUGGGCGUAAAGCGUGCGUAGACGGUUACAUAAGUCGGGUGUGAAAGCCCCGGGCUCAACCUGGGAAUUGCAUUCGAGACUGCGUAGCUAGGGUGCGGAAGAGGGAAGCGGAAUUUCCGGUGUAGCGGUGAAAUGCGUAGAUAUCGGAAGGAACACCAGUGGCGAAAGCGGCUUCCUGGUCCAGCACCGACGUUCAGGCACGAAAGCGUGGGGAGCAAACAG
RNAcentral lists this ribosomal RNA (252 nucleotides) under uncultured bacterium. RNAcentral describes it as "partial 16S ribosomal RNA". It matches the Rfam family "Bacterial small subunit ribosomal RNA", at positions 524 to 775 of the family's 1533-position model. The record is from RNAcentral.